UUAAGUUAUUUUUUAACAAUUAUUCAUAAAUUAUUUAUGAAAACUGAGAUACUAGGCAAAGCUAGUCAUCAUUUUAAAUUAUUGUUCUCUUAACCAUUUUUAUAGCUUGUGAAUAUCAGAUGUUAAUGAUCCAAGUAAGGAUAAAGUAAAAUAUAUGAGCAUUUUUGCAAUAACUCAGAAGAUACAGCUGUUUACAUGAAACCAACAAUAUUAUAUUAGUCUAAUUUAUCAGAAGUUACACAAAGAUAAUUUUGCUCUUAGGCUGAAUGUACAGAUUUAUGACCUUAAAUUCUCUAGGAGAGACAUAUAUAACCUUGUCUGAUCAGCAAACCCAGACAAAACAUGUGUGCUCACAACUCUGAAGACACCUUCAUCUUUAUUUUUACCAACAAAUGUAAAAACAGUUUAUUUACCAAAGAUUUACUUGAGUCAUGUGAACUAAAAGACAUCUGGCUUACUGUAUAUUUUUAAAGUUUUAAGUAUAAUUAGCCUAAGUCCUCAUUUAUCACUGAGCCAAUUUGAAUAGAAUUCUUUAAGAGAUUUUACCAUUGCAGACAGAAAAUACAUGUAUAAAAACACAUAAACAUGUAUAUACACAAAGAUCUUAUACCUUUCAUUUUAGAAUUUUUGUGAUGAGACAGUAAAAUACAGUAAUAUAAACUCACUCUAAUUUAUAAAAGACAGUUUGAUCCAAAUUAUAUUUCCAACAAAAUGGCACAAGUUAACGUCACCUGUUCAUGUGGCUAAACCUCAAGAUUUUUAUUUGUCCUGUUAGGUAAUCUUAUAAAGGCCGUGGACCUAAUUUGAAGUAAAGCGGUUUUCAUAGCAGUUUAAAAUAACCCUCUUUACUCUUUUUGGCUGUUCGGUCUCAAAUGAGUCUUAAAUGUUAUAUUUCAGUUAAAACUGCCUGGAAAAUAAACCUCUAAGUUGCCAUGAAUUUAGUCACAGAUUUGUCUUAAUACAAGCAAAAAAGUCAGCAGAUUCAGAGGAAAUUUAAAAAAUGAGAAAUAGAGAUAUUGCUGCACCAUUCAGACUGUUUAACCCUAUAGUUGCAUUUUUUUGUUUUUGUUUGUUUUUCAUUAAUGCUAAGGGAAAUAAGCUUGGGGAGCUCAAAUGGUGCCCAUAAUGGCCAUAAAUUAUCUUUAGUGUAACCUGUCCAUUGGUUUAAAAAUGUGUGUGAAGAAAAGCUAUACAUUUUGUAUGUAUAUUAAGCUGAGGUUUCUGAAAGAAGCUUGUCCUUAGACAACUUAGCAUGCCUUAGAAUUUGAAGAUUCCAUUCUGUUUCUCAUUAAUCUUUCAAGAACAAAAACAUCCUAUAAUUUAUAUCUAGAUUUUCAGGGUUUGGGCAAAGCGUUUUGCUUUGACAAGUGUACCUGACACAGGACUUUUUUUUUUUUUUUAAUCGUAAGUAACCUUUGCUCUAGUUGUUUGACCUGUGACCAGGUUUUUCCUAUUUGCACUGCAUUUUUCUGGAGACUGGCAAGUGCCCUAGUAGUAACUUUGCCUGUCCAUACCCAAUGUUUUCCAACACAGAAUAGUUUACCCUCAAAAACAGAAGUUCCUCAUAGAUGGUGGUGAUCACUCUAGUGGCCAUCCCAUAUUCACCAUUUAAAAAAUAAUUUUGCUCUAGAAAGAUGUUCAGAAACAAGCAAGGAAAAAAAUGUAAGAGCCAAAUUAUUUCUAGAUGCACAUAAGCAAACCAAAAUGAUACCCCAAAAAAGAGUACUCACAAAAAUUUUAAACCAGGCAUGUAGAGCAAACAAAAUAUUAAACCAGGUGCAUAGAAAAAAAAGCAAAUGUGAAUUUAUCAGAGAACACAGGAGGUCAUCAUAGACAGAACAAAAACUCUGCAAAAACCAGAGUAUUAUCCAGAAGAUCAGUGUCCUUAUACCAGAAAGGGCUUGCCAGAAAAGACAAAAAGUCUUUUGUGGUCCAAGAGGGAUGCAGUGUCCUUUGUUAAGGCAGCUUUUAUCCCAACCAGAUCCCGAAUAAAGUCAAAAGAACUCACCAUAAGGAGGGAGUUCAGCCUGAGAGAAGACUACUCACCAGAAGAGCUUGAUUAACAAUUUUACGGCAUUUUACCCCUUAAAAAACUCUUCCAUAUACGCAAUCACCUUUGAACUCCACAACACAUGAAACAGGAUCUUGCUCUGUCUACCAGGCUGGAGUGCAGUGGCACAAUCGUAACUCACUGGAGCCUCUGACCCCAGGGCUCAAGCCAUUCUCCUGCGUUAGACUUCCAAGAUAUCCAGCUAUUUUGCCCCCUUCCACCAGCACCAAUAUCUUUUGCUUACUAAAGGAGGUACUCACAACGAAGAUCACACAUGACUCUUUAUUUUCUAUUAUGAAGCAACAGCCUGAAAAAACAGCCACUUAUUAAAUACUGAGGUGAGAAAGUUUUUUUUUUUUUUCUUUUAA
RNAcentral lists this long non-coding RNA (2418 nucleotides) under Homo sapiens (human). RNAcentral describes it as "HSALNT0374368". The record is from RNAcentral. Lineage: Eukaryota; Metazoa; Chordata; Mammalia; Primates; Hominidae.